This is a non-coding RNA of Podarcis lilfordi (Lilford's wall lizard), 71 nucleotides long. NCBI's taxonomy places the organism in Eukaryota, Metazoa, Chordata, Lepidosauria, Squamata, Lacertidae. The record is from the annotation of a GenBank genome assembly.
AUUUAGCUCAGUUGGUUACAGUGUGGUGCUGAUAACACCAAGGUUGCAGGUUCGAAUCCCUGCAUGGGACA